UACAGAGGGGGCAAGCGUUGUUCGGAAUUACUGGGCGUAAAGGGCGCGUAGGCGGCCUGUUAAGUCGAACGUGAAAUCCCCGGGCUCAACCCGGGAACUGCGUCCGAUACUGGCAGGCUUGAAUCCGGGAGAGGGAUGCGGAAUCCAGGUGUAGCGGUGAAAUGCGUAGAUAUCUGGAGGAACACCGGUGGCGAAGGCGGCAUCCUGGACCGGCAUUGACGCUGAGGCGCGAAAGCCAGGGGAGCAAACGGG
This 252-nucleotide ribosomal RNA is filed under the name uncultured bacterium. RNAcentral describes it as "partial 16S ribosomal RNA". It matches the Rfam family "Bacterial small subunit ribosomal RNA", at positions 524 to 776 of the family's 1533-position model. The record is from RNAcentral.